UAUGUGAUCGUCUCUCGCAUAUCAAUAAGCGGAGGAAAAGAAACUAACAAGGAUUCCCCUAGUAACGGCGAGUGAAGCGGGAAGAGCUCAAAUUUGAAAUCUUAAAGGGUUUCCCUUUACGAAUUGUAGUUUAAAGAAGUGUUUUCUGUUGAGGUUUUGGUAAAAGUUCUUUGGAAUAGGACAUCAUAGAGGGUGAGAAUCCCGUAUUUGACCUUUACCUUCAACUUUGUGAUACACUUUCAAAGAGUCGGAUUGUUUGGGAAUGCAGUCCAAAAUGGGUGGUAAAUUUCAUCUAAAGCUAAAUAUUGGCGAGAGACCGAUAGCGAACAAGUACCGUGAGGGAAAGAUGAAAAGAACUUUGAAAAGAGAGUUAAACAGUACGUGAAAUUGUCAAAAGGGAAGCGUUUGACACCAGUGUUGUUUUUCUGAAAAUCAAUUAAAGAACUGUUUAUGCUAAGUUGUUUAGACUUUAUCAGCUAACUGUUUAGUUUUGAGCUUUUCUUUAAUGCACUUUUCAGUUAACAAGUCAACAUCAAUUUCUUUUGCUGUAAAAAAGCUUGAGGAAGGUGGCUUGAGAUUCGUCUUAAGUGUUUAUAGCCUCUUGCCUAUGCAGUCGGAGAGAUUGAGGUCUGCAGCGUAGAUCCUUCGGGGCUAAAUGCAGUUUGUGCUAAGUUAUAGCAUUUUAUAGACAACUUGUUGACUAUGAUUUGUCUUGUAGCUUACUCGCUUAUGUUAUUUUACCUACGCUUAGGAUGUUGAUCUACAGAGCGAGAGU
This 775-nucleotide ribosomal RNA is filed under the name uncultured Neocallimastigales. RNAcentral describes it as "partial large subunit ribosomal RNA". It matches the Rfam family "Eukaryotic large subunit ribosomal RNA", at positions 24 to 631 of the family's 3401-position model. Lineage: Eukaryota; Fungi; Neocallimastigomycota; Neocallimastigomycetes; Neocallimastigales. The record is from RNAcentral.